Molecule: ribosomal RNA, 397 nt
Filed under: uncultured bacterium
Lineage: Bacteria
Description: partial 16S ribosomal RNA
Rfam family: Bacterial small subunit ribosomal RNA
Source: RNAcentral
AUACGUAGGUGACAAGCGUUAUCCGGAUUUACUGGGCGUAAAGGGCGUGUAGGCGGUCUUGCAAGUCAGAAGUGAAAUUCCUGAGCUCAACUCGGGCGCUGCUUCUGAAACUGCAGGACUUGAGUGCUGGAGGGGAUAGCGGAAUUCCUAGUGGAGCGGUAAAAUGCGCAGAUAUUAGGAAGAACACCGGUGGCGAAGGCGGCUAUCUGGACAGUAACUGACGCUGAGGCGCGAAAGCGUGGGGAGCAAACAGGAUUAGAUCCCCUGGUAGUCCACGCCGUAAACGAUGAAUACUAGGUGUAGCGGGUAUCGACUCCCUCUGUGCCGCAGUUAACACAAUAAGUAUUCCGCCUGGGGAGUACGGCCGCAAGGUUGAAACUCAAAUGAAUUGACGGGG